GGAGGGGCCAUGGCUCAGUGGUAGAACAUCCGUUUGGUAUGCGGAAGGUCCCAAAUUCAAUCCCCAGCAUCUUCA
RNAcentral lists this transfer RNA (75 nucleotides) under Sphaerodactylus townsendi. RNAcentral describes it as "tRNA-Thr". Lineage: Eukaryota; Metazoa; Chordata; Lepidosauria; Squamata; Sphaerodactylidae. The record is from RNAcentral.